Molecule: long non-coding RNA, 2451 nt
Organism: Amblyraja radiata (thorny skate)
Lineage: Eukaryota; Metazoa; Chordata; Chondrichthyes; Rajiformes; Rajidae
Exons: 2
Source: RefSeq, a predicted model, not a curated record
CUCCUCUCCCCCCCCCCUCCCCCCCGCACCUUCCCUUCCCCUUCGCCUCUCCUCCCCCUCCCCCAACACAAAAUGGCGCUCACGGGCAAAAAGCGCGCGCGCCCGCCGCACCAACGGACAACCUCGCCCGGCGCCGACACUUAAAUCAGUCAGAGGGGUUUAUUACUAUCAUUAUACCGACCGUUCCUUCAUCAUACUAAGCCGCAAUGCAAAACAAAAAAAAAAAGGUAGGGGGUUUAAGCCUCUUGCAUUAUUUUAUACUCGAGAGUCGAGUUUUUUUUUUAAUGAACCAUUUUAAAAAUUAAAGGUGGCGGCGAUGUGCAUAAUUCUCAGACACAGGGGGGAAUCAACAAAAGGCGCUUCGAGUGCGGCAGAUAAGCGAAAUGUGACAAAGUCACAAAUGCCGCGCACUGCAGCUUUUCUGGAGGGUGCUGCUGCCCUUGUUCGGAUGAGCACAGCCCCAGCAGCCAUUCGCAAGCCUCUGCUCACUGCCAAUGUGAUUUUUAUUUUAAUGCAACACAGAAAACAACUCUCUCACGCACUCCCCUUAUCAACCUGCACAGCUAUAUUACGCCUGGAGGUGCACGUCAGAGUAAAAGACAGACUGAUCCAAAGCCUUGACCAUAUUAACUGAAAUAUACAAAGCUCUCUUCCUGCAGAUAUGAUGCAAACAGCAAGAAAAAGCCGAGUAUGAAAACAUAACUUACAUCUUUGGACGGAAGAAAAUGGUGCUAAAGAAUAAUAAGGCUUAUUUAUUUCUUUAUACAGAGGGAAUAUUCAUAAAUAGUAACAACACUAAACCACUCAGAGUCGAACAUGUUCGACAAUGGUCAAAUAUGGGUGCAUUCCAUGCAAGACGAUUAAUACUGGGAUGUGGACAUGAAAAGCUAGGCAAAAAAAUGGCAUUCAUUGAAGAGUGGCAAAUUCGUAGGCCAGAGGUUUCCGGUCCCAGAUUUCACAGGAAAUUAGAAAAAUAUUGCAUUUGGCCCAAAUAAAUUAAAAAGUUGAUCAGAUUCAGACAGGAAAUUUGAGCAUUUCGUUCUUUGACUGUUUGAGUAUUACAGAGUGCAAAGCUAAAAUGAAAUUACUGGAGUCUAUAAUUAGGGAUAGAAUAAUUGAAAGUCUUGAACAUUUUCAUCAGUCAAAGGGAGAACCAGCAUAAAUGAGCACAUUGAUGACAAACAUUAAUAUUUGUAUAGAUCACCAAUUAACUGAAUGAGGCUUAGCGAUGAGUGAUAAUUGUAGACUAAUAGGCAAGUGAUAGAUUUCUAAUAUUAACCAUUUUCAAACAUUAAGAUCAUUGAUUUUUGUACACCCCUAUCUCCUGCAAGCUGGCAAGAAACCUUAUUUUUAAUCCAAUUCAAUCUUGUUUAUUCAUCUUCUUAGGCAACUGGGCAAGGAGUUCCAGAGUUUGGUACUGGUAAAUGAACAGCCACAUAUUUCCAACUCGGAGUGAUCCGAUUUGGACAGUAAACUGCAGAUAUUAAUGGCAUUUCUUUAUGUUAUCUGGCCUUGCCCUACGUGGUCGUAGAUGUGGCAGGUUUGGGAGAUGCUAUCAUUGCAGCUUGACAAGUAACUGCAUUGCACUUUAUUGGUGGCAUCCUGCAGCAAAUAUAUGCCAAUCAAAGCAGUGAACGUUUAAAGCAGUGUGAUGAACAAGGUGCCAUAUUAUGUUGCCUCAUUGAGUGAGUUUGGAGCGACAUGCAGUCAAAUGGGGAGUAUUCUACAACCUUCAUGACAUGUCAUGGAGAUGGCAGAGUUGUAGUUAAAAGAUAGUUUGUUUAAAUUAGAAGUCAUGGAAUUGAUGAUUAGUCUUGGUGAGCAUAGAAAAUUUCAAAAGGUAAUUGGGAUCAAAAUCGGUUAUAAAAAAUUGACAGAAUGGUACUUGGAUCGGUUUGGCCUGUCCCAGUCCAUCCUCUGGAAUAGAAUACAAUAAACCCACGUUCAGCAGUAACACAAAGAUAGGAAAUAAAAGUUAAAGUGAAAAUCAGAAAUAAAUACUGCCAGUUUAACCAGUCUGGGAGUGGUUUCUUCACUUGGGAAUUAUCUACCCUUGGAGUUGUGGACGCUGAGUCAUUUUAUAACAAAUGAAAGGCAAAGUUUUUGAACUACAAGCAAAUCAAAAUGUAUGACAAGCAUUGAAGUGUUGAGGUCAAAGCGCUGCCAUAACUUUCAUCAUGUCAGAACAAGAUGAAGACUUAACUGCAAUUGCAAUAUUUUACAAACUAUAACUGUACAUUUAAAAAAAUGAUUAAUUUCACGUGAAAAAAAGUUGAAAUAUAGUUUUUUUCAUUAUCUCUUGCCUGAGGAAAUACUUCCUGGCAUCAUCCCUGAUCUACCUCACACCAUUUAUAACGUCACCUUACUUGUUCUUGUCAGUAAGAAGACAGUUGCUCCCAACUUAAAUAUUUUUAUACAAAACAUUUACAAAUAAAAACGACAUGCACUAAA